RNAcentral lists this unclassified non-coding RNA (1408 nucleotides) under Lytechinus variegatus (green sea urchin). RNAcentral's name for it is "uncharacterized LOC121424484, transcript variant X2". The record is from RNAcentral. Lineage: Eukaryota; Metazoa; Echinodermata; Echinoidea; Temnopleuroida; Toxopneustidae.
AAAAUUUUUUGAAAAUUUUCUUUCGGCACUGGCAACUAGGCCUAGGUGGCAGAUAUUUCGACAUUUGUCUAGCUACCUAUACCGGAUAUCUACACAAAGGAUUCAUACUUUUAUUGGAUUAUACAGACGCUGAUUUCAGUUUUUUACUGUCUUCAGACUUCAGCCUCAGGAAUUGUUGCCGUAGAACUAAGACUAAGUUAGCUGUGCCGAUUUGUGGACCUAAAAGAUUCAGUUUGCAACUUCAGGAUUGAAUUUUUUCUUGGCGGUUCGCUUGAUUGAACUUUGGAGGUGAUUGCAUCCAGGAUUCAUUGGACUUGGGCUGAGUGACGGAGCUUCGAGUCUAACUCUAGUUUCGCGAGUUGAUCAUGCCAAAGGUUAAGGCCAAGAAAAUAACGACCGCAGGUGCGAGGAAGGGAGAUGACACACCGAAGAGGAGGCCGGGUCGGCCGAGAGGUCCACGGGCGACGUCAACCCCCGCAAGUGUGGAUCUGGGGCUGGGAGGCGGCAACAACGGGCCAGGAAGGAGCGGUGAGUUAAAUCCCUCUCAGUCUCAAGUUGUCGAUGUUGAUGAAAAAAGUGGUAGGCCUAGGUCUAAAGUUGGUGAUAAAAUGGCAGAGCUAGAUCUAGAUCUAGUGGGGCGGGAAGGCCAGGCGCCCGUGGGCAGAUCUAUUGCUUGGCAUGAGAUAGUAGCUCAGGAGUCGGAUACCGGUAGCUCGGGGCAGGCUCAGCCAGCAGUUUCAGUGCCGGCGCGGUCGGCAGGGGUAGCCGAAGAUCUAGGCCUAGAUCUAGUGGAGGUCGGUGUUGAGAGAUCUGAGCCCCAGGCGCCUAGGCUUUCUGCCGUGUUGGGGGCACCGGAACCAUUUAUUAGCGCAUGCGACCCACUAGGUGUGGAAGUGGCUAUCUCACUGAAGGAAAAAAUUUGGGCAAGUGAAUAUAUAGAUUUGGGAGUGCUCCUUAAGCAUAAUAAUGCACGUGAUGAGUUUGGGGCCUUGAGUGUAGGUGACACCACUUUGAGUUUGUGUCAAUCGGGAUCUGGUCUUGGUUUGCAACUUCAACCUCAAUCAAAGGCUAAGAAAAUCAUGUCGGUAGAGCAGUGGACUUCGGUGUUUCUAGUAUUUGCCUCAAUUUACGCUGAGAAGCACAUUGAAAGGAGCAGGGAGCUCAUGAAAUAUAUGGAUUUGAUAAGGCAUGCAGCCCGUGCGUUUGCAGGUUAUGGCUGGCGUGACUAUGACACUCAGUUUAGGAGCAAGCAGGCGCGUUUACCCGGCGCGAUCCUGGGCGAGCGUCGACGCCGAGUUGUGGUUGAUGCUGGUGGCCUCUAAUGGUCCGCGGCAGCGCCACAAUUUACCCCAUGCCCCUCGCCAUCAGUUCUAAGGGGCAGUGUACAGUAACAUAUUCGUCCUUUGAU